Long non-coding RNA from Oncorhynchus tshawytscha (Chinook salmon), 788 nucleotides. The record is from Ensembl. NCBI's taxonomy places the organism in Eukaryota, Metazoa, Chordata, Actinopteri, Salmoniformes, Salmonidae.
ACCCCAUGGUGGGGUAAUGGUAUGGGCAGGCAUGAACUAUUGACUACACACAUUUAUUUUAUCAAUGGCAAUUUGAAUGCACAAAAAUACUGUAAUGAUAUCCGGAGGCCCAUUUUAAGGUGUUUGUGACUAACAGAUGCAUACCUGUAUUCCCAGUCAUGUGAAAUCCAUAGAUUAAGGCCUCAUAUGAAUUGUAACUCAGUAAAAUCAAUGAAAUUGUUGCAUGUUGUGUUUUAUAUUUUUGUUCAGAAUGUCAGUUGGAGAUUUUGAGUGCAGUAUUUGGUCAUUUACAUGCAUAUGUUUAUACGUGUAUUUUGUUUAAUACAGUAUACGAGGAGAUCUAUAUGUCAGGGUGAGAGGUGAUGGUGUGUGUAUAGAGUAGAUCUAUAUGUCAGGGUGAGAGGUGAUGGUGUGUAUAUGUAGAGUACAUCUAUAUGUCAGGGUGAGAGGUGAUAGUGAUAGUGUGUGUAUAUGUAGAGUACAUCUAUAUGUCAGGGUGAGAGGUGAUAGUGUGUGUGUGUAUAUGUAGAGUACAUCUAUAUGUCAGGGUGAGAGGUGAUGGUGUGUGUAUAGAGUACAUCUAUAUGUGAUGGCGUGUGUAUAUGUAGAGUACAUCUAUAUGUCAGGGUGAAAGGUGAUGGUGUGUAUAUGUAGAGUAGAUCUAUAUGUCAGGGUGAGAGGUCGCCAGACAGACGCACGGACCGACAAACAGGGCUGACAGACAUCAGCCUCUGAAAGCCCUCGCGGGUCUAGCCUGCGACCCCUCUCACUCAUUACGUGCUCUGUGA